ACAUCCAGAACCACUCCUGUCUGAGGGCCGGCU
This 33-nucleotide small RNA is filed under the name Bombyx mori (domestic silkworm). Its description in RNAcentral is "ovarian small RNA-11148". Lineage: Eukaryota; Metazoa; Arthropoda; Insecta; Lepidoptera; Bombycidae. The record is from RNAcentral.